Lacerta agilis (Sand lizard) is the source of this 618-nucleotide long non-coding RNA. RefSeq lists it as uncharacterized. The transcript is spliced from 4 exons. The record is from RefSeq and is a predicted model, not a curated record. Lineage: Eukaryota; Metazoa; Chordata; Lepidosauria; Squamata; Lacertidae.
GAAGAGAAGGAAAGAAAAAUAGAGGGAGCAUCUUUCGCUGCGAUCUGUGAGAGGUGAGAAGCACCUUGCAAAGGUGUCAGCAAAGGGAGACAUUUAAGGAUCCAAUGGAUUUCCUAUCUAAGUUGAAGAGGUGGAUCUCAAAAUUCUGCAUUAAAAAUCCCACUCUGAAUGUUGGGGUGAAGGAUAUCAAAGCAAAUGUACCUCUGGAUCCAGACGCAUACCGUCAAUGGCUCGCCCUAGAUGAGGACCAGAGAAACGUGAGAUACGAAGACCAUCCUGAGAGAUUCAGCUGGUACUCGCACACACAUCAUAUACACACAGGAGGCAGGCCUUUCUUGGAGGUCGUAAGGCACUUUUCAGACGGAUAUAGUUUUUAUAGGCGCCAGCAAAUGUGAGAAAGGGCCACUUCGACUUAAGGUCUGGCGGAAGGACCUGGGGUGUGGGGAUGGAGGAUGAUGAGUACAAGGUCUACAACUGUCAUCAUUUCUCUCCUCGGUCCCUAAGUGAGAAGUCCAAGAGCAGGGUUCCCCAGACUACUGCCCGGAGGCCAGAUGCAGCCCAAUGGGCUCGUUUAUCCGACCCCCGCUGCCACUGCCACUGCCUGCUCUUACUGGCACU